Non-coding RNA from Oryza punctata, 193 nucleotides. The record is from Rfam. NCBI's taxonomy places the organism in Eukaryota, Viridiplantae, Streptophyta, Magnoliopsida, Poales, Poaceae.
UUUAAGUGCAGCAUAGGUUUUUUCGUAUCCAACUUUAAUCAUAUAUCUUAUUUGAAAUUUUAUUAUAAUUAGUAUUUUUAUUAUUAUUAAAUGAUAAACUAUGAAUGGUACUUUAUGCGUACUUAUGUUUUUUAAUUUUUUUAAAUAAAAUGAACGAUAAAGUUGGACAUGAAAACUGAGGGUUGCAUCUAAA